RNAcentral lists this ribosomal RNA (326 nucleotides) under uncultured bacterium. Its description in RNAcentral is "bacterial SSU rRNA". It matches the Rfam family "Bacterial small subunit ribosomal RNA", at positions 30 to 337 of the family's 1533-position model. The record is from RNAcentral.
AUUGAACGCUGGCGGCAUGCCUAACACAUGCAAGUCGUGCGAGAAAGUUCCUUCGGGAGCGAGUAAAGCGGCGCACGGGUGAGUAACACGUAGGUAACCUGCCCCCCAGUCUGGAACAACUAGAGGAAACUCUAGCUAAUACCGGAUGAGACCACGAUCCCUUCGGGGGUUGCGGCCAAAGAUGGCCUCUACUUGUAAGCUAUCGCUGAGGGAUGGGCCUGCGGGCCAUUAGCUUGUUGGUGAGGUAACGGCUCACCAAGGCUGUGGAUGGCUAGCUGGUCUGAGAGGAUGACCAGCCACACUGGGACUGAGAUACGGCCCAGACU